RNAcentral lists this ribosomal RNA (478 nucleotides) under uncultured bacterium. RNAcentral's name for it is "partial 16S ribosomal RNA". It matches the Rfam family "Bacterial small subunit ribosomal RNA", at positions 28 to 506 of the family's 1533-position model. The record is from RNAcentral.
GAUGAACGCUGGCGGCGUGCUUAACACAUGCAAGUCGAACGAAGCACCUUGAUUUGAUUCUUCGGAUGAAGAUCUUGGUGACUGAGUGGCGGACGGGUGAGUAACGCGUGGGUAACCUGCCUCAUACAGGGGGAUAACAGUUAGAAAUGACUGCUAAUACCGCAUAAGACCACAGCACCGCAUGGUGCAGGGGUAAAAACUCCGGUGGUAUGAGAUGGACCCGCGUCUGAUUAGGUAGUUGGUGGGGUAACGGCCUACCAAGCCGACGAUCAGUAGCCGACCUGAGAGGGUGACCGGCCACAUUGGGACUGAGACACGGCCCAAACUCCUACGGGAGGCAGCAGUGGGGAAUAUUGCACAAUGGGGGAAACCCUGAUGCAGCGACGCCGCGUGAGCGAUGAAGUAUUUCGGUAUGUAAAGCUCUAUCAGCAGGGAAGAAAAUGACGGUACCUGACUAAGAAGCACCGGCUAAAUACGU